This 29-nucleotide non-coding RNA is filed under the name Rattus norvegicus (Norway rat). Lineage: Eukaryota; Metazoa; Chordata; Mammalia; Rodentia; Muridae. The record is from RNAcentral.
UGAUUUGUCCUGAUCGAUGAUUCGUGCUC